This 440-nucleotide ribosomal RNA is filed under the name uncultured bacterium. Its description in RNAcentral is "partial 16S ribosomal RNA". It matches the Rfam family "Bacterial small subunit ribosomal RNA", at positions 338 to 795 of the family's 1533-position model. The record is from RNAcentral.
CCUACGUGAGGCAGCAGUGGGGGAUAUUGCACAAUGGGGGAAACCCUGAUGCAGCGACGCCGCGUGGGCGAAGAAGUAUUUCGGUAUGUAAAGCUCUAUCAGCCGGGAAGAAAAUGACGGUACCUGAGUAAGAAGCCCCGGCUAACUACGUGCCAGCAGCCGCGGUAAUACGUAGGGGGCAAGCGUUAUCCGGAUUUACUGGGUGUAAAGGGAGCGUAGACGGCAGUGCAAGUCUGGAGGGAAAGGCGGGGGCUCAACCCCCGAACUGCUCUGGAAACUGUACUGCUGGAGUGCAGGAGAGGUAAGUGGAAUGCCUGGUGUAGCGGUGAAAUGCGUAGAUAUUAGGAGGAACACCAGUGGCGAAGGCGGCUUACUGGACUGUAACUGACGUUGAGGCUCGAAAGCGUGGGGAGCAAACAGGAUUAGAUACCCUUGUAGUC